GUCUGUUACUGAUGACGUGGUGGAGAGAGAAUUAAGUGAUUUAUAAUGAUUUAAUUACGUGGAUUUUAAUGUUAAAAAUUAAAGCUUCUGACAUGGAAUAUGGAUUUAUAAUUCGGAAUUUCCUCUCUUCUCCUUCUUCUUCUUCAUGUGUGAGAGAGAAGCUUUCUCCUUCCUCCGUCAAUCGUCUAGGACACCACCAGUCACCGUCAAGCCC
This 214-nucleotide long non-coding RNA is filed under the name Vigna radiata. RNAcentral's name for it is "long non-coding RNA (VRAD_LNC010198)". The record is from RNAcentral. Lineage: Eukaryota; Viridiplantae; Streptophyta; Magnoliopsida; Fabales; Fabaceae.